GCACAAGCGGUGGAGCAUGUGGCUUAAUUCGACGCAACGCGAAGAACCUUACCAAGGCUUGACAUACACCGGAAAGCAUUAGAGAUAGUGCCCCCCUUGUGGUCGGUGUACAGGUGGUGCAUGGCUGUCGUCAGCUCGUGUCGUGAGAUGUUGGGUUAAGUCCCGCAACGAGCGCAACCCUUGUCCCGUGUUGCCAGCAGGCCCUUGUGGUGCUGGGGACUCAUGGGAGACUGCCGGUGACAAAUCGGAGGAAGGUGGGGAUGAUGUCAAGUCAGCAUGACCCUUAUGUCCAGGGCUACACACGUGCUACAUUGGCCGGUACAAAGGGCUGCAAACCCGCGAGGGGGAGCGAAUCCCAAAAAGCCGGUCCCGGUUCGGAUUGAAGGCUGAAACUCGCCUUCAUGAAGGCGGAGUUGCUAGUAAUCGCGGAUCAGCAUUGCCGCGGUGAAUACGUUCCCGGGC
Molecule: ribosomal RNA, 462 nt
Filed under: uncultured bacterium
Lineage: Bacteria
Description: bacterial SSU rRNA
Rfam family: Bacterial small subunit ribosomal RNA
Source: RNAcentral